AUGGACGUUAAGACCGCUUUCCUCAAUGGAGAGUUGAAGAAGGAAAUUUACAUGGAUCAGCCAGAUGGUUUUGUAGUACCUGGUCAGGAAGGAAAGGAUUUCUUAUCUCGCUGUUUUGAGAUGAAGGAUCUAGGAGUAGCUGAUGUUAUCUUAAACAUCAAGCCGUUGAGAGAUGAGAAUGGUGGGAUCACACUGCUUCAGUCUCACUAUGUGGAAAAGGUCUUGAGUCAUUUUGGGUAUAGCGACUGCACGCCUUCUCCAACUCCAUAUGAUGCUAGUCUGAGUCGGUUUGUGUCAAAACCGGGAGAUGAUCAUUGGCAUGCGCUUGAGAGAGUUAUGCGCUAUUUGAAAGGCACCGAGAGCUAUGGGAUUCACUACACCGGGUAUCCAAGGGUACUGUAG
This 402-nucleotide ribosomal RNA is filed under the name Triticum aestivum (bread wheat). RNAcentral's name for it is "partial small subunit ribosomal RNA". The record is from RNAcentral. Lineage: Eukaryota; Viridiplantae; Streptophyta; Magnoliopsida; Poales; Poaceae.